Molecule: microRNA, 22 nt
Filed under: Eptatretus burgeri (inshore hagfish)
Lineage: Eukaryota; Metazoa; Chordata; Myxini; Myxiniformes; Myxinidae
Also listed under: 1 other name
Description: Ebu-Mir-221-P2e_3p (mature (guide))
Source: RNAcentral
AGCUACAUUGUCUGCUGGGUUA